RNAcentral lists this ribosomal RNA (490 nucleotides) under uncultured bacterium. Its description in RNAcentral is "partial 16S ribosomal RNA". It matches the Rfam family "Bacterial small subunit ribosomal RNA", at positions 30 to 507 of the family's 1533-position model. The record is from RNAcentral.
AUUGAACGCUGGCGGCAGGCCUAACACAUGCAAGUCGAACGGUAACAGGAAGCAGCUUGCUGCUUUGCUGACGAGUGGCGGACUGGUGAGUAAUGUCUGGGAAACUGCCUGAUGGAGGGGGAUAACUACUGGAAACGGUAGCUAAUACCGCAUAACGUCGCAAGACCAAAGAGGGGGACCUUCGGGCCUCUUGCCAUCGGAUGUGCCCAGAUGGGAUUAGCUAGUAGGUGGGGUAACGGCUCACCUAGGCGACGAUCCCUAGCUGGUCUGAGAGGAUGACCAGCCACACUGGAACUGAGACACGGUCCAGACUCCUACGGGAGGCAGCAGUGGGGAAUAUUGCACAAUGGGCGCAAGCCUGAUGCAGCCAUGCCGCGUGUAUGAAGAAGGCCUUCGGGUUGUAAAGUACUUUCAGCGGGGACGAAGGGAGUAAAGUUAAUACCUUUGCUCAUUGACGUUACCCGCAGAAGAAGCACCGGCUAACUCCGUG